UACAGAGGUCCCAAGCGUUGUUCGGAUUCACUGGGCGUAAAGGGUGCGUAGGUGGCCUGUUAAGUCGAACGUGAAAUCCCCGGGCUCAACCCGGGAACUGCGUCCGAGACUGAAAGGCUUGAAUCCGGGAGAGGGAUGUGGAAUUCCAGGUGUAGCGGUGAAAUGCGUAGAUAUCUGGAGGAACAUCGGUGGCGAAGGCGGCAUCCUGGACCGGUAUUGACGCUGAGGCGCGAAAGCCAGGGGAGCAAACGGG
RNAcentral lists this ribosomal RNA (253 nucleotides) under uncultured bacterium. Its description in RNAcentral is "partial 16S ribosomal RNA". It matches the Rfam family "Bacterial small subunit ribosomal RNA", at positions 524 to 776 of the family's 1533-position model. The record is from RNAcentral.